GUGGGGAAUAUUGGACAAUGGGCGAAAGCCUGAUCCAGCCAUGCCGCGUGUGUGAAGAAGGUCUUCGGAUUGUAAAGCACUUUAAGUUGGGAGGAAGGGCAGUAAGUUAAUACCUUGCUGUUUUGACGUUACCGACAGAAUAAGCACCGGCUAACUUCGUGCCAGCAGCCGCGGUAAUACGAAGGGUGCAAGCGUUAAUCGGAAUUACUGGGCGUAAAGCGCGCGUAGGUGGUUUUGUAAGUUGGAGGUGAAAUCCCCGGGCUCAACCUGGGGACUGCCUCCAAAACUGCAUGACUAGAGUACGGUAGAGGGUAGUGGAAUUUCCUGUGUAGCGGUGAAAUGCGUAGAUAUAGGAAGGAACACCAGUGGCGAAGGCGACUACCUGGACUGAUACUGACACUGAGGUGCGAAAGCGUGGGGAGCAAACAGGAUUAGAAACCCCGGUAGUCC
This 450-nucleotide ribosomal RNA is filed under the name uncultured bacterium. Its description in RNAcentral is "partial 16S ribosomal RNA". It matches the Rfam family "Bacterial small subunit ribosomal RNA", at positions 354 to 796 of the family's 1533-position model. The record is from RNAcentral.